CAUUAACCCCCUUCCCAACUCUUACGUUACCAACCCUAACCCACUCCAAAUCUCCAACGGCGCAGCAGCGCACCCUCCCUCGUCCCUCCCAUCACCCUCGAGCUAGCCGUUCCUCUCAAUGCCAGCAAGCUCAGCCCCUCCCUUACGUGCAGCCACAGUCCUGCCGGCGCUAGCUUUGUUCCACCGCAGCCACUGUCCCGUUCGAAGGUGCUCCUUGUCUCGGUGUCUCCCUCUUUCGUGCUCUGUUCAAGGCUUCUAGCUUCGAAGGUGCUCUCUUUCGCCGCCGUCGCGCUCCCAUAGAGGAAGAAUCAUCGCAGGCGCUGCCAUUUCCUCCUCAUCUCGGUCAAGCCGUCAUCCACUUCUCAGCUGCGCCGCUGUCUACUUCUCAGUCGUCCUACUCACCGCGGUCCUUGUCGUCCGCGACACUCAGUCACGCCACGUCUUCCAUCUUAGGGUGGCAGGUUAGAUUUAGGUGGCGAUAGCUUUGAGCCUGCAGCUAUGGAAGAACGAGAUUUCUAAACUUCUAGUUUGUGUUAAAUGAUGUGGAUUGUACAGCUGCUACUUCGAGGAACCUUCAUUCUUUUUUUUUGGUGAUGAAACCUUUGAUUCUUUUUCUUUGUUGCUUGGAUAAAUUUAAACCAGAGUUGGAAAUGGUUUGAUAUUUUUUGGAUAUAAUUGCUUUAUUGAUUAAUGUCAUCAAAGCAAACAUUUAUA
Molecule: non-coding RNA, 714 nt
Organism: Arachis ipaensis
Lineage: Eukaryota; Viridiplantae; Streptophyta; Magnoliopsida; Fabales; Fabaceae
Source: RefSeq, a predicted model, not a curated record